CAUGCAGUCGAGCGGAUGAGAAGAGCUUGCUCUUCGAUUCAGCGGCGGACGGGUGAGUAAUGCCUAGGAAUCUGCCUGNUAGUGGGGGACAACGUUUCGAAAGGAACGCUAAUACCGCAUACGUCCUACGGGAGAAAGCAGGGGACCUUCGGGCCUUGCGCUAUCAGAUGAGCCUAGGUCGGAUUAGCUAGUUGGUGAGGUAAUGGCUCACCAAGGCGACGAUCCGUAACUGGUCUGAGAGGAUGAUCAGUCACACUGGAACUGAGACACGGUCCAGACUCCUACGGGAGGCAGCAGUGGGGAAUAUUGGACAAUGGGCGAAAGCCUGAUCCAGCCAUGCCGCGUGUGUGAAGAAGGUCUUCGGAUUGUAAAGCACUUUAAGUUGGGAGGAAGGGCAGUAAGCGAAUACCUUGCUGUUUUGACGUUACCGACAGAAUAAGCACCGGCUAACUCUGUGCCAGCAGCCGCGGUAAUACAGAGGGUGCAAGCGUUAAUCGGAAUUACUGGGCGUAAAGCGCGCGUAGGUGGUUUGUUAAGUUGGAUGUGAAAGCCCCGGGCUCAACCUGGGAACUGCAUCCAAAACUGGCAAGCUAGAGUACAGUAGAGGGUGGUGGAAUUUCCUGUGUACCGGUGAAAUGCGUACAUAU
Molecule: ribosomal RNA, 647 nt
Filed under: Pseudomonas putida
Lineage: Bacteria; Pseudomonadati; Pseudomonadota; Gammaproteobacteria; Pseudomonadales; Pseudomonadaceae
Description: bacterial SSU rRNA
Rfam family: Bacterial small subunit ribosomal RNA
Source: RNAcentral